GUGCCUGUGUACAAACCUCUGGGAACCAGUAUGAGACAGCCUAGUACAGAAAAGUUGACGGCAGCAGUUUUUUACAGUGAAAGCCUUCAGGAUGUGACAUGAAGCGAUCUUGUUUGUUCAUUGCAAAGAGUGCAGUCUCUCUUCAGUUGCCUCACAACACGUAUUUUGUGUUGUGCUCCAAAUGAUUUCAUCCUUUUUGUUUUGUUCCUGUGCAAACGUGUGAGUGAGAAUGUGGGAGUAUGCAUAUGUUCUCCUCAGUAUACUGUACGAUGGUUUGUGAGUUCAAGUGUGUGCAUGCGUGUGUGUGUUCUAGUGUGUCCUUUCCCUGGAGAGAUAUCCUGCCUCCAGCAUAGUCAGAGGGGCUGACAGAUGACCACAAGGUCACUCAUCUCCUCAAUCUGUGACCCUCUCAGGAGGCACAAACACCCAUAAGAGGGAUUUCAUUCCCCUUUUUUUCCUCUUUUUGCUUUGAAUCGCUUCUAUUCCUCGCUCCUCUCCUCUUCUGCUGCCUUCAGUCUCAACUUUACUUUGUUCUCUUGUCAUUUGCACUUAUCUUUUCCUCCUUCACACCUCUUAUUCUCCCCUCUGCGGUAUCACCUUUUCCCUUUUUUUUGCCUCACCUUCUGAGUUUUUUUUCUUUACAAUUUCUAAUUUUGCACUCCCUUCUUACGUUGUUGCCCCUUUCUCACUCGAAUUAAUGACCUCUGUGCAAACUAUUGAGAUUAUUGUAUUAACUAGGUUCCUUUGAAGACCUCAUGCAAUCUCUGAUACAAUAUUUGAGACCUACUGUGUGGUUGAACUGGCUCAGAUCAAAAGAUUUCUUUUUUUUUAGGUCAUGUUUUGUAUGAGACUUUGUUACCUGUGCCAGGGAGAUGGGGUUAAAAUUUAGUGUUGUAAACUAGCUUGAAAAAAUGAGAUAUUUUAAAGUAAAGUAUGUGAGUAUGAGUUUGUGUAACUGUAAAUCAUAAAUGAACUGCUGUCCUCUGAUGUUUUAUGUGAGAUCUUGCCAAAACUAAAAGCCAGCUCAUGCAAAAAUACUGACAGCUGUGGACUUGAACUCAGACCAGUCAGGUUUCUAAUUUUUAUACAUAUGAAGUGCACAUAUAUGCAUGUAUGCUAGAAAAAAUAACAUGAGGAAAAAUUGCUUUCUCAGUUGUACAGUUUGUGCAUUGCAGACAAUCCACAUGAUCAAAGGUUUUGAGCUACAUGCACAAGUCCACAGAGGGGACGGGAAACAAGAAGCGACCUGCAAUCACUCUGUGGUUCGUAUUAAUAAUGUGAGCAGCAUAGAUUAUUGAUUAACUGAUCAGGAAGAAAAUCAUCAUUUUGAGUCUGCUCUGUCAUAAAAUGUACAUAGAAAAUACUCAAUACUUGUGAAAAAAUAAAAAGAAUGACAUGAAAAACAUUUACUCUGCUCUCGGC
This is a long non-coding RNA of Astatotilapia calliptera (eastern happy), 1422 nucleotides long. Lineage: Eukaryota; Metazoa; Chordata; Actinopteri; Cichliformes; Cichlidae. The record is from Ensembl.